AGCCUCUGGCUGCAGCCUGCGGGACGGGGCGGGGACAUCCACAUCCACAUCCAUGUGCUACGUCACAUUUGUUCUGCGCAUGUGCGGAACUUCUCAUUAGACAUUCGCUGGUAGCGCUUGUAGUCAUGCUUGUAGUAAAUUACUUUUAGCAGUAGUUUGCAGAGGUGUCAAGUAACGAAGUACAAAUCCUUCGUUACAUUACUUAAGUAGAAAUUUUGGGUAUCUAUACUUUACUGGAGUAAUUAUUUUUGAGCCGACUUUUUACUUCUACUCUACAUUUUCAAGCAAGUAUUUGUACUUUCUACUCCUUCAUUUUAAAAAUAGCCUCCUCGUCACUCCUAAUUCAUUUCGGCUUGUUUUCAUUCCGACUCAUUGUUGAAUCCAGAUAGAGAGAAUUUGAUUGUGGUUGGACGAGAAGUAUAAACAUAUCCCAUUCUGACACUAUUGGUUUGUACGCGAUCCGUCACACCACCUGAACGUGACACAAAUCAUUACUCUCCAACAAGGACAUAGCAAACGUAGCAAAGUAGCCUACAAAGAUGUCCAUGGCAGAGAAGAGAACCUGAGCGAAAUGUCCCAACCAAGCACUAGCGAAGAGGUUGGUAGUCAGGAAGACCUAGGCAAUCCUUGUAGGCUACAUCCCUGGAAGAACUUUUCGAAAAUGGUUGGAUGGAAAAACAACUCCAGUCCUUUCGGAUGCACUGCUGCAAGCUCUGCGCACCCAAGUACCACGAGCUAAGGCUUUCAAAAACUCGCCGUGAAAAACCAUAUUGAGAAGAAACACCCAACCCGUCUAUAGAGAUGAAUAUGCUUGCAGUGAUGGGUGGGAAAACACCCAAAGACACCAUCAAGCGUAUAAUGGGGAGGCUAUUGAGCAAAUCCUUGGCUUUGCAAUUGAAUUGGACAGGUCAAGGGGGAAAGGUGUCUUUCAAGACACUACAAAUGAAAACGGUGUUGCACAGAGCUGGACGCAAGAAUCCACCAACCCCGGGAUGUCAGAGAAGACAUCAUUCAGAAGGAGGUGUCCGUGUUUUUAAAAGGGGCAGCCGACCUAGAGGGGGGGGUGACAGGAAAGGCAGAGAAGGAAGGAGAGUUUGGCCAAUAAUGAGCAGUAAUAUAUGAAUGUUAUAUGUUGUUGUUGUAGGCUUAUGCAUUUUAUAUAUAUUGUGCUAUAAAGCUGUGCUAUAAUAUAUAUGUAUAUUAUUAAUGUUAUCUGUUGUGUUUAAAUUAGCAUAUUGUAUU
Alosa sapidissima (American shad) is the source of this 1242-nucleotide long non-coding RNA. RefSeq lists it as uncharacterized. The record is from RefSeq and is a predicted model, not a curated record. The transcript has 4 exons. Lineage: Eukaryota; Metazoa; Chordata; Actinopteri; Clupeiformes; Clupeidae.